RNAcentral lists this ribosomal RNA (109 nucleotides) under Aquimarina celericrescens. The record is from RNAcentral. Lineage: Bacteria; Pseudomonadati; Bacteroidota; Flavobacteriia; Flavobacteriales; Flavobacteriaceae. RNAcentral also lists the same sequence under 1 other name.
UAAGGUGGUUAUAGCAACGGGGCUCACCUCUUACCAUUCCGAACAGAGUAGUUAAGCCCGUUAGCGCCAAUGGUACUGCAAUCCGUGGGAGAGUAGGUCACCGCCUUCC